Molecule: ribosomal RNA, 497 nt
Filed under: uncultured bacterium
Lineage: Bacteria
Description: bacterial SSU rRNA
Rfam family: Bacterial small subunit ribosomal RNA
Source: RNAcentral
GAUGAACGCUAGCUACAGGCUUAACACAUGCAAGUCGAGGGGCAGCAUGGUCUUAGCUUGCUAAGGCCGAUGGCGACCGGCGCACGGGUGAGUAACACGUAUCCAACCUGCCGUCUACUCUUGGACAGCCUUCUGAAAGGAAGAUUAAUACAAGAUGGCAUCAUGAGUCCGCAUGUUCACAUGAUUAAAGGUAUUCCGGUAGACGAUGGGGAUGCGUUCCAUUAGAUAGUAGGCGGGGUAACGGCCCACCUAGUCUUCGAUGGAUAGGGGUUCUGAGAGGAAGGUCCCCCACAUUGGAACUGAGACACGGUCCAAACUCCUACGGGAGGCAGCAGUGAGGAAUAUUGGUCAAAUGGGGCGAGAGCCUGAACCAGCCAAGUAGCGUGAAGGAUGACUGCCCUAUGGGUUGUAAAACUUCUUUUAUAAAGGAAUAAAGUCGGGUAUGGAUACCCGUUUGCAUGUACUUUAUGAAUAAGGAUCGGCUAACUCCGUGCCAG